UUAAGCGACUAAGCGUACACGGUGGAUGCCCUGGCAGUCAGAGGCGAUGAAGGACGUGCUAAUCUGCGAUAAGCGUCGGUGAGGUGAUAUGAACCGUUAUAACCGGCGAUUUCCGAAUGGGGAAACCCAGUGUGUUUCGACACACUAUCAUUAACUGAAUCCAUAGGUUAAUGAGGCGAACCGGGGGAACUGAAACAUCUAAGUACCCCGAGGAAAAGAAAUCAACCGAGAUUCCCCCAGUAGCGGCGAGCGAACGGGGAGGAGCCCAGAGCCUGAAUCAGUGUGUGUGUUAGUGGAAGCGUCUGGAAAGGCGUGCGAUACAGGGUGACAGCCCCGUACACAAAAAUGCACAUAUUGUGAGCUCGAUGAGUAGGGCGGGACACGUGGUAUCCUGUCUGAAUAUGGGGGGACCAUCCUCCAAGGCUAAAUACUCCUGACUGACCGAUAGUGAACCAGUACCGUGAGGGAAAGGCGAAAAGAACCCCGGCGAGGGGAGUGAAAAAGAACCUGAAACCGUGUACGUACAAGCAGUGGGAGCCUCUUAAUGGGGUGACUGCGUACCUUUUGUAUAAUGGGUCAGCGACUUAUAUUCUGUAGCAAGGUUAACCGAAUAGGGGAGCCGAAGGGAAACCGAGUCUUAACUGGGCGUUAAGUUGCAGGGUAUAGACCCGAAACCCGGUGAUCUAGCCAUGGGCAGGUUGAAGGUUGGGUAACACUAACUGGAGGACCGAACCGACUAAUGUUGAAAAAUUAGCGGAUGACUUGUGGCUGGGGGUGAAAGGCCAAUCAAACCGGGAGAUAGCUGGUUCUCCCCGAAAGCUAUUUAGGUAGCGCCUCGUGAAUUCAUCUCCGGGGGUAGAGCACUGUUUCGGCAAGGGGGUCAUCCCGACUUACCAACCCGAUGCAAACUGCGAAUACCGGAGAAUGUUAUCACGGGAGACACACGGCGGGUGCUAACGUCCGUCGUGAAGAGGGAAACAACCCAGACCGCCAGCUAAGGUCCCAAAGUCAUGGUUAAGUGGGAAACGAUGUGGGAAGGCCCAGACAGCCAGGAUGUUGGCUUAGAAGCAGCCAUCAUUUAAAGAAAGCGUAAUAGCUCACUGGUCGAGUCGGCCUGCGCGGAAGAUGUAACGGGGCUAAACCAUGCACCGAAGCUGCGGCAGCGACACUAUGUGUUGUUGGGUAGGGGAGCGUUCUGUAAGCCUGUGAAGGUGGCCUGUGAGGGUUGCUGGAGGUAUCAGAAGUGCGAAUGCUGACAUAAGUAACGAUAAAGCGGGUGAAAAGCCCGCUCGCCGGAAGACCAAGGGUUCCUGUCCAACGUUAAUCGGGGCAGGGUGAGUCGACCCCUAAGGCGAGGCCGAAAGGCGUAGUCGAUGGGAAACAGGUUAAUAUUCCUGUACUUGGUGUUACUGCGAAGGGGGGACGGAGAAGGCUAUGUUGGCCGGGCGACGGUUGUCCCGGUUUAAGCGUGUAGGCUGGUUUUCCAGGCAAAUCCGGAAAACCAAGGCUGAGGCGUGAUGACGAGGCACUACGGUGCUGAAGCGACAAAUGCCCUGCUUCCAGGAAAAGCCUCUAAGCAUCAGGUAACAUCAAAUCGUACCCCAAACCGACACAGGUGGUCAGGUAGAGAAUACCAAGGCGCUUGAGAGAACUCGGGUGAAGGAACUAGGCAAAAUGGUGCCGUAACUUCGGGAGAAGGCACGCUGAUAUGUAGGUGAAGCGACUUGCUCGUGGAGCUGAAAUCAGUCGAAGAUACCAGCUGGCUGCAACUGUUUAUUAAAAACACAGCACUGUGCAAACACGAAAGUGGACGUAUACGGUGUGACGCCUGCCCGGUGCCGGAAGGUUAAUUGAUGGGGUUAGCGGCAACGCGAAGCUCUUGAUCGAAGCCCCGGUAAACGGCGGCCGUAACUAUAACGGUCCUAAGGUAGCGAAAUUCCUUGUCGGGUAAGUUCCGACCUGCACGAAUGGCGUAAUGAUGGCCAGGCUGUCUCCACCCGAGACUCAGUGAAAUUGAACUCGCUGUGAAGAUGCAGUGUACCCGCGGCAAGACGGAAAGACCCCGUGAACCUUUACUAUAGCUUGACACUGAACAUUGAGCCUUGAUGUGUAGGAUAGGUGGGAGGCUUUGAAGUGUGGACGCCAGUCUGCAUGGAGCCGACCUUGAAAUACCACCCUUUAAUGUUUGAUGUUCUAACGUUGGCCCGUAAUCCGGGUUGCGGACAGUGUCUGGUGGGUAGUUUGACUGGGGCGGUCUCCUCCUAAAGAGUAACGGAGGAGCACGAAGGUUGGCUAAUCCUGGUCGGACAUCAGGAGGUUAGUGCAAUGGCAUAAGCCAGCUUGACUGCGAGCGUGACGGCGCGAGCAGGUGCGAAAGCAGGUCAUAGUGAUCCGGUGGUUCUGAAUGGAAGGGCCAUCGCUCAACGGAUAAAAGGUACUCCGGGGAUAACAGGCUGAUACCGCCCAAGAGUUCAUAUCGACGGCGGUGUUUGGCACCUCGAUGUCGGCUCAUCACAUCCUGGGGCUGAAGUAGGUCCCAAGGGUAUGGCUGUUCGCCAUUUAAAGUGGUACGCGAGCUGGGUUUAGAACGUCGUGAGACAGUUCGGUCCCUAUCUGCCGUGGGCGCUGGAGAACUGAGGGGGGCUGCUCCUAGUACGAGAGGACCGGAGUGGACGCAUCACUGGUGUUCGGGUUGUCAUGCCAAUGGCACUGCCCGGUAGCUAAAUGCGAAAGAGAUAAGUGCUGAAAGCAUCUAAGCACGAAACUUGCCCCGAGAUGAGUUCUCCCUGACUCCUUGAGAGUCCUGAAGGAACGUUGAAGACGACGACGUUGAUAGGCCGGGUGUGUAAGCGCAGCGAUGCGUUGAGCUAACCGGUACUAAUGAACCGUGAGGCUUAACCUU
RNAcentral lists this ribosomal RNA (2902 nucleotides) under Escherichia coli HVH 58 (4-2839709). RNAcentral's name for it is "bacterial LSU rRNA". It matches the Rfam family "Bacterial large subunit ribosomal RNA". The record is from RNAcentral. Lineage: Bacteria; Pseudomonadati; Pseudomonadota; Gammaproteobacteria; Enterobacterales; Enterobacteriaceae.